Molecule: ribosomal RNA, 380 nt
Filed under: uncultured eukaryote
Lineage: Eukaryota
Description: SSU rRNA
Rfam family: Eukaryotic small subunit ribosomal RNA
Source: RNAcentral
AGCUCCAAUAGCGUAUAUUAAAGUUGUUGCGGUUAAAAGCUCGUAGUUGGAUUUCUGUUGAGGGUGGCCAGUCCGCACUUUGUGCGAGUAUUUGGUUCAGCCUCGGCAUCCUCCUGGGGAGCGUGAUUGUACUUAGUUGUAUGACGCGUAAUUCAGGACUUUUACUUUGAGGAAAUUAGAGUGUUCACGGCAGGCAAUAGCCUUGAAUAUGUUAGCAUGGAAUAAUAAUAUAAGACCUCGGUUUUAUUUUGUUGGUUUCUAGAAGCGGGGUAAUGAUUAAUAGGGAUAAUUGGGGGUAUUCGAAUUAAUGCGUCAGAGGUGGAAUUCUUGGAUUGCAUUACGACGAACUACUGCGAAAGCAUUUACCAAGGAUGUUUUCA